Molecule: ribosomal RNA, 791 nt
Filed under: Natrinema sp. BAB-2989
Lineage: Archaea; Methanobacteriati; Methanobacteriota; Halobacteria; Halobacteriales; Natrialbaceae
Also listed under: 1 other name
Description: bacterial SSU rRNA
Rfam family: Archaeal small subunit ribosomal RNA
Source: RNAcentral
CUGCCGGAGGUCAUUGCUAUUGGAGUCCGAUUUAGCCAUGCUAGUUGCACGAGUUUAGACUCGUAGCAGAUAGCUCAGUAACACGUGGGCCAAACUACCCUAUGGAUCCGAAUAACCUCGGGAAACUGAGGCUAAUAUGGAAUAGCGUUCAUCGCCUGGAGUGGCACGAACGCGAAACGUUACGGCGCCAUAGGAUGUGGCUGCGGCCGAUUAGGUAGACGGUGGGGUAACGGCCCACCGUGCCCAUAAUCGGUACGGGUUGUGAGAGCAAGAGCCCGGAGACGGUAUCUGAGACAAGAUACCGGGCCCUACGGGGCGCAGCAGGCGCGAAACCUUUACACUGCACGCGAGUGCGAUAAGGGGACUCCGAGUGCGAGGGCAUAUAGUCCUCGCUUUUCACGACCGUAAGGUGGUCGUAGAAUAAGUGCUGGGCAAGACAAAAAGCAAAGCCGCCGCGGUAAUACCGGCAGCACGAGUGAUGACCGCUAUUAUUGGGCCUAAAGCGUCCGUAGCUGGCCACGCAAGUCUAUCGGGAAAUCCGCGCGCUUAACGCGCGGGCGUCCGGUGGAAACUGCGUGGCUUGGGACCGGAAGACCAGAGGGGUACGUCCGGGGUAGGAGUGAAAUCCCGUAAUCCUGGACGGACCACCGGUGGCGAAAGCGCCUCUGGAAGACGGAUCCGACGGUGAGGGACGAAAGCUCGGGUCACGAACCGGAUUAGAUACCCGGGUAGUCCGAGCUGUAAACGAUGUCUGCUAGGUGUGCACAGGCUACGAGCCUGUGCUGUGCCGU